This 232-nucleotide ribosomal RNA is filed under the name Vibrio parahaemolyticus. RNAcentral's name for it is "partial 23S ribosomal RNA". It matches the Rfam family "Bacterial large subunit ribosomal RNA", at positions 1419 to 1651 of the family's 2925-position model. Lineage: Bacteria; Pseudomonadati; Pseudomonadota; Gammaproteobacteria; Vibrionales; Vibrionaceae. The record is from RNAcentral.
UGGGAAACGGGUUAAUAUUCCCGUACUUCUUACAAUUGCGAUGGGGGGACGGAGAAGGCUAGGUGGGCCUGGCGACGGUUGUCCAGGUUCAAGUGCGUAGGCUUGAGAGUUAGGUAAAUCCGGCUCUUUCUAAGGCUGAGACACGACGUCGAGCACCUACGGGUGUGAAGUCAUUGAUGCCAUGCUUCCAGGAAAAGCCUCUAAGCUUCAGAUUGUAAGGAAUGGUACCCCA